UAGAGACAAAGAGAUGUUGGUUUAAG
RNAcentral lists this non-coding RNA (26 nucleotides) under Mus musculus (house mouse). The record is from RNAcentral. Lineage: Eukaryota; Metazoa; Chordata; Mammalia; Rodentia; Muridae.